Drosophila simulans is the source of this 740-nucleotide long non-coding RNA. RefSeq lists it as uncharacterized. Lineage: Eukaryota; Metazoa; Arthropoda; Insecta; Diptera; Drosophilidae. The transcript is spliced from 4 exons. The record is from RefSeq and is a predicted model, not a curated record.
ACCCCCAUCAGAAGGACAGGAGCACCGCGUCGCAGAGAGCCUCAGGAGUCAUCACAGGUAAGUUUUGUUGCAUUAUGGCAGUGGUCUGUUGCGGCCGCUGGAAGUGGGCCACUUGCAACAAUUUUGUCCGGCCGGCGAUUGCAGGUUAGUUGUUCUUGGUAUCGGCAUCCAUCGCUGCCGUCAUUUGAUAAAAUUGCCGUUCGUCAGGAAGAGGAGUUGCAAUGAGUUGCCCCACGCAGCUGUCAUUGCAUUUUUUGAGAGCUGCUGUCUAUAUGGUGGUGGAGUCGUCUCGUGGCGAAGAAGUCGUCAGAGAGGAUUGUGGCUCGGUCUGUCACCGAAGGAAGCCAGGUGCGCCGCGUCUUGUGGCCAUAGCGUCAGGAUUGGCAGCUUGGGGCCGCCGUUUUAAGAUUUGUAGCAGAGAGCCGCCGCAACGGAAUAGUCAUGGAAAUGGAUGCAAAAAUAGUAUUUGGUACAUUGAGUGGAAUUAAUUUAAGGUACUUAAAGAGGAAGCUAGUCUGGGGUGAGUAUUUUAUUGCUUUUUUAAUUGCGUUGAUUGAUUUGCUUUUCAGGUACGUUUUGUAUGGGCUAAAUUGGAGGCCCUUGUCGUUGUGUUAUUGCAGCUAGAAUGCCACGAUUUUGGAGUCAUCAAGUUUGCAAUUAGAUAAGUAUUAUAUUAUUAAUAUAUAUUUCCCAGUAAUAGCUUGUGUUCCCUUGUUUCAAUAGUUGAAGUCUUGGAAGCU